GCAUCCAUAGCUCAAUGGAUAGAGCAACAGCCUUCUAAGCUGUGGGUUGUGAGUUCGAGUCUCACUGGAUGCA
Molecule: transfer RNA, 73 nt
Filed under: Crassvirales sp.
Lineage: Duplodnaviria; Heunggongvirae; Uroviricota; Caudoviricetes; Crassvirales
Also listed under: 1 other name
Description: tRNA-Arg
Rfam family: tRNA
About the family: Transfer RNA (tRNA) molecules are approximately 80 nucleotides in length. Their secondary structure includes four short double-helical elements and three loops (D, anti-codon, and T loops).
Source: RNAcentral